Molecule: ribosomal RNA, 460 nt
Filed under: uncultured bacterium
Lineage: Bacteria
Description: partial 16S ribosomal RNA
Rfam family: Bacterial small subunit ribosomal RNA
Source: RNAcentral
CCUACGGGAGGCAGCAGUGAGGAAUAUUGGUCAAUGGACGAGAGUCUGAACCAGCCAAGUAGCGUGAAGGAUGACUGCCCUAUGGGUUGUAAACUUCUUUUAUAUGGGAAUAAAACGUUCCACGUGUGGGAUUUUGUAUGUACCAUAUGAAUAAGGAUCGGCUAACUCCGUGCCAGCAGCCGCGGUAAUACGGAGGAUCCGAGCGUUAUCCGGAUUUAUUGGGUUUAAAGGGAGCGUAGGUGGAUUGUUAAGUCAGUUGUGAAAGUUUGCGGCUCAACCGUACAAUUGCAGUUGAAACUGGCAGUCUUGAGUACAGUAGAGGUGGGUGGAAUUCGUGGUGUAGCGGUGAAAUGCUUAGAUAUCACGAAGAACUCCGAUUGCGAAGGCAGUUCACUGGACUGCAACUGACACUGAGGCUCGAAAGUGUGGGUAUCAAACAGGAUUAGAUACCCUUGUAGUC